AAAAAAUUUGCUAUUUCACAAUAUUGUGCAAUUAGAUAUUUCUUGCCAUUGCGCAAUACUGUGCAAUUGAAAAGACUUGCUAUUGCACAAUACUUAAUAUAAUAAUUUUGGAUCCUGAUUUGGACCAACUUGAAAACUGGGCCCAUAAUAAAAAAUCUAAGUACAUUUUUGGAUUCAGCAUUUCAAAGAACCCAAGAUUUCAAUUUUUGUUAAAAUCAGACUAAGUUUAAUUUUGGACCCUUUGGACUUUAGUGUAGACCAAUUUGAAAACAGGACCAAAAAUGAAGAAUCUACAUACACAGUUAGAUUUGGUAUAUCAAAGAACCCCAUUUAUUCAAUUUUUGAUGAAAUCAAACAAAGUUUAAUUUUGGACCCCGAUUUGGACCAACUUGAAAACUGGGCCAAUAAUCAAGAAUCUAAGUACAUUUUUAGAUUCAGCAUAUCAAAGAACCUAACUGAUUCAUUUUUUGUCAAAAUCAAACUAAGUUUAAUUUUGGACCCUUUGGACCUUAAUGUAGACCAAUUUGAAAACCGGACCAAAGGUUAAGAAUCUACAUACACAGUCAUGACAGUUAGAUUCGGCAUAUCAAAGAACCCCAAUUAUUCAAUUUUGAUGAAAUCAAACAAAGUUUAAUUUUGGACCCUUUGGGCCCCUUAUUCUGUUGGGACCAAAACUCUUAAAAUCAAUACCAACCUUCCUUUUAUGGUCAUAAACCUUGUGUUUAAAUUUCAUAGAUUUCUAUUUACUUAUACUAACGUUAUGGUGCGAAAACCAAGAAAAAUGCUUAUUUGGGUCCCUUUUUGGCCCCUAAUUCCUAAACUGUUGGGACCUAAACUCCCAAAAUCAAUACCAACCUUCCUUUUGUAGUCAUUAACAUUGUAUUUAAAUUUCAUUGAUUUCUAUUUACUUAAACUAAAGUUAUUGUGCGAAAACCAAGAAUAAUGCUUAUUGGGCCCUUUUUUGGCCCCUAAUUCCUAAACUGUUGAAACCAAAACUCCCAAAAUCAAUCCCAACCGUUCUUUUGUGGUCAUAAACCUUGUGUCAAAAUUUCAUAGAUUUCUAUUAACUUAAACUAAAGUUAUAGUGCGAAAACCAAGAAAAUGCUUAUUUGGGCCCUUUUUGGCCCCUAAUUCUAAAAUGUUGGGACCAAAACUCCCAAAAUCAAUACCAACCUUCCUUUUGUGGUCAUAAACCUUGUGUUAAAAUUUCAUAGAUUUCCAUUCACUUUUACUAAAGUUAGAGUGCGAAAACUAAAAGUAUUCGGACGCAGGACGACGACGACGACGCAGACGCCAACGUGAUAGCAAUAUACGACGAAAAAUUUUUCAAAUUUUGCGGUCGUAUAAAAACUAUGUCCAUUGGACAUG
This 1368-nucleotide long non-coding RNA is filed under the name Mytilus galloprovincialis (Mediterranean mussel). Lineage: Eukaryota; Metazoa; Mollusca; Bivalvia; Mytilida; Mytilidae. The record is from RNAcentral.